UCCAACCGUCUCCCUACCCCUUGCAGACGUGCCGGGCGUUCCCGACCCGGGGGUUCCUCCAAGCUGACCCUCUGUACUUUUCUUUGUGUGUUGGCGUUUUGCCAAGUUGUAUGGGUCUCGGCCCUAAACAAUGAAAUUUGAGAUAAAAAUUUAAGAACCGUUCACUUUCGUCCUUCUUCUUUCUAACUCUUGGUAGCGUCUCGCUGACUCCCGACUCUUGAAAUUCUUCUGGCACUAGGCCAGGUAUCUGAGGGUUAGGCCUCAGGAAAUUCUUCCGGCACUAAGCCAGGCAUCCGAGGGUUAGGCCUCAGGAAAUUCUUCCGGCACUAAGCCAGGC
RNAcentral lists this long non-coding RNA (337 nucleotides) under Phoenix dactylifera (date palm). RNAcentral describes it as "long non-coding RNA (PDAC_LNC017453)". The record is from RNAcentral. Lineage: Eukaryota; Viridiplantae; Streptophyta; Magnoliopsida; Arecales; Arecaceae.